Molecule: ribosomal RNA, 460 nt
Filed under: uncultured bacterium
Lineage: Bacteria
Description: partial 16S ribosomal RNA
Rfam family: Bacterial small subunit ribosomal RNA
Source: RNAcentral
CCUACGGGAGGCAGCAGUGAGGAAUAUUGGUCAAUGGACGAGAGUCUGAACCAGCCAAGUAGCGUGAAGGAUGACUGCCCUAUGGGUUGUAAACUUCUUUUAUAUGGGAAUAAAAUGUUCCACGUGUGGGAUUUUGUAUGUACCAUAUGAACAAGGAUAGGCUAACUCCGUGCCAGCAGCCGCGGUAAUACGGAGGAUCCGAGCGUUAUCCGGAUUUAUUGGGUUUAAAGGGAGCGUAGGUGGAUUGUUAAGUCAGUUGUGAAAGUUUGCGGCUCAACCGUAAAAUUGCAGUUGAAACUGGCAGUCUUGAGUACAGUAGAGGUGGGCGGAAUUCGUGGUGUAGCGGUGAAAUGCUUAGAUAUCACGAAGAACUCCGAUUGCGAAGGCAGUUCACUGGACUGCAACUGACACUGAGGCUCGAAAGUGUGGGUAUCAAACAGGAUUAGAUACCCCUGUAGUC